Molecule: ribosomal RNA, 2815 nt
Filed under: Staphylococcus aureus
Lineage: Bacteria; Bacillati; Bacillota; Bacilli; Caryophanales; Staphylococcaceae
Description: bacterial LSU rRNA
Rfam family: Bacterial large subunit ribosomal RNA
Source: RNAcentral
AGGGCGCACGGUGGAUGCCUUGGCACUAGAAGCCGAUGAAGGACGUUACUAACGACGAUAUGCUUUGGGGAGCUGUAAGUAAGCUUUGAUCCAGAGAUUUCCGAAUGGGGAAACCCAGCAUGAGUUAUGUCAUGUUAUCGAUAUGUGAAUACAUAGCAUAUCAGAAGGCACACCCGGAGAACUGAAACAUCUUAGUACCCGGAGGAAGAGAAAGAAAAUUCGAUUCCCUUAGUAGCGGCGAGCGAAACGGGAAGAGCCCAAACCAAAAAGCUUGCUUGUUGGGGUUGUAGGACACUCUAUACGGAGUUACAAAGGACGACAUUAGACGAAUCAUCUGGAAAGAUGAAUCAAAGAAGGUAAUAAUCCUGUAGUCGAAAAUGUUGUCUCUCUUGAGUGGAUCCUGAGUACGACGGAGCACGUGAAAUUCCGUCGGAAUCUGGGAGGACCAUCUCCUAAGGCUAAAUACUCUCUAGUGACCGAUAGUGAACCAGUACCGUGAGGGAAAGGUGAAAAGCACCCCGGAAGGAGAGUGAAAUAGAACCUGAAACCGUGUGCUUACAAGUAGUCAGAGCCCGUUAAUGGGUGAUGGCGUGCCUUUUGUAGAAUGAACCGGCGAGUUACGAUUUGAUGCAAGGUUAAGCAGUAAAUGUGGAGCCGUAGCGAAAGCGAGUCUGAAUAGGGCGUUUAGUAUUUGGUCGUAGACCCGAAACCAGGUGAUCUACCCUUGGUCAGGUUGAAGUUCAGGUAACACUGAAUGGAGGACCGAACCGACUUACGUUGAAAAGUGAGCGGAUGAACUGAGGGUAGCGGAGAAAUUCCAAUCGAACCUGGAGAUAGCUGGUUCUCUCCGAAAUAGCUUUAGGGCUAGCCUCAAGUGAUGAUUAUUGGAGGUAGAGCACUGUUUGGACGAGGGGCCCCUCUCGGGUUACCGAAUUCAGACAAACUCCGAAUGCCAAUUAAUUUAACUUGGGAGUCAGAACAUGGGUGAUAAGGUCCGUGUUCGAAAGGGAAACAGCCCAGACCACCAGCUAAGGUCCCAAAAUAUAUGUUAAGUGGAAAAGGAUGUGGCGUUGCCCAGACAACUAGGAUGUUGGCUUAGAAGCAGCCAUCAUUUAAAGAGUGCGUAAUAGCUCACUAGUCGAGUGACACUGCGCCGAAAAUGUACCGGGGCUAAACAUAUUACCGAAGCUGUGGAUUGUCCUUUGGACAAUGGUAGGAGAGCGUUCUAAGGGCGUUGAAGCAUGAUCGUAAGGACAUGUGGAGCGCUUAGAAGUGAGAAUGCCGGUGUGAGUAGCGAAAGACGGGUGAGAAUCCCGUCCACCGAUUGACUAAGGUUUCCAGAGGAAGGCUCGUCCGCUCUGGGUUAGUCGGGUCCUAAGCUGAGGCCGACAGGCGUAGGCGAUGGAUAACAGGUUGAUAUUCCUGUACCACCUAUAAUCGUUUUAAUCGAUGGGGGGACGCAGUAGGAUAGGCGAAGCGUGCGAUUGGAUUGCACGUCUAAGCAGUAAGGCUGAGUAUUAGGCAAAUCCGGUACUCGUUAAGGCUGAGCUGUGAUGGGGAGAAGACAUUGAGUCUUCGAGUCGUUGAUUUCACACUGCCGAGAAAAGCCUCUAGAUAGAAAAUAGGUGCCCGUACCGCAAACCGACACAGGUAGUCAAGAUGAGAAUUCUAAGGUGAGCGAGCGAACUCUCGUUAAGGAACUCGGCAAAAUGACCCCGUAACUUCGGGAGAAGGGGUGCUCUUUAGGGUUAACGCCCAGAAGAGCCGCAGUGAAUAGGCCCAAGCGACUGUUUAUCAAAAACACAGGUCUCUGCUAAACCGUAAGGUGAUGUAUAGGGGCUGACGCCUGCCCGGUGCUGGAAGGUUAAGAGGAGUGGUUAGCUUCUGCGAAGCUACGAAUCGAAGCCCCAGUAAACGGCGGCCGUAACUAUAACGGUCCUAAGGUAGCGAAAUUCCUUGUCGGGUAAGUUCCGACCCGCACGAAAGGCGUAACGAUUUGGGCACUGUCUCAACGAGAGACUCGGUGAAAUCAUAGUACCUGUGAAGAUGCAGGUUACCCGCGACAGGACGGAAAGACCCCGUGGAGCUUUACUGUAGCCUGAUAUUGAAAUUCGGCACAGCUUGUACAGGAUAGGUAGGAGCCUUUGAAACGUGAGCGCUAGCUUACGUGGAGGCGCUGGUGGGAUACUACCCUAGCUGUGUUGGCUUUCUAACCCGCACCACUUAUCGUGGUGGGAGACAGUGUCAGGCGGGCAGUUUGACUGGGGCGGUCGCCUCCUAAAAGGUAACGGAGGCGCUCAAAGGUUCCCUCAGAAUGGUUGGAAAUCAUUCAUAGAGUGUAAAGGCAUAAGGGAGCUUGACUGCGAGACCUACAAGUCGAGCAGGGUCGAAAGACGGACUUAGUGAUCCGGUGGUUCCGCAUGGAAGGGCCAUCGCUCAACGGAUAAAAGCUACCCCGGGGAUAACAGGCUUAUCUCCCCCAAGAGUUCACAUCGACGGGGAGGUUUGGCACCUCGAUGUCGGCUCAUCGCAUCCUGGGGCUGUAGUCGGUCCCAAGGGUUGGGCUGUUCGCCCAUUAAAGCGGUACGCGAGCUGGGUUCAGAACGUCGUGAGACAGUUCGGUCCCUAUCCGUCGUGGGCGUAGGAAAUUUGAGAGGAGCUGUCCUUAGUACGAGAGGACCGGGAUGGACAUACCUCUGGUGUACCAGUUGUCGUGCCAACGGCAUAGCUGGGUAGCUAUGUGUGGACGGGAUAAGUGCUGAAAGCAUCUAAGCAUGAAGCCCCCCUCAAGAUGAGAUUUCCCAACUUCGGUUAU